AGCUUUGUGCAGUGGCAGUAUCAUAGCCAAUGAGGUUUAUCUGAGGCGUGAUUAUUGCUAAUUGAAAACAAAAGCAUCAGUUGUUUGGUGCUUAGCUUUCUUUAUAGUCCAACUCUCACAUCCAUACAUGACCACUGGAAAAACCAUAGCCUUGACUAGAUACACCUUUGUUGGCUAAGCAGUAUCUCUGCUUUCUAAUAUGCUAU
RNAcentral lists this small nuclear RNA (206 nucleotides) under Cervus hanglu yarkandensis (Yarkand deer). RNAcentral describes it as "U4 spliceosomal RNA (ENSCHYG00000015674.1)". The stretch from base 1 to 79 matches the Rfam family "U4 spliceosomal RNA". Lineage: Eukaryota; Metazoa; Chordata; Mammalia; Artiodactyla; Cervidae. The record is from RNAcentral.